CCUACGGGCGACAGCAGUGAGGAAUAUUGGUCAAUGGACGCAAGUCUGAACCAGCCAUGCCGCGUGCAGGAAGACGGCCCUAUGAGUUGUAAACUGCUUUUGUACGAGGGUAAACGCAGAUACGCGUAUCUGUCUGAAAGUAUCGUACGAAUAAGGCACGGCUAACUCCGUGCCAGCAGCCGCGGUAAUACGGAGGAUUCAAGCGUUAUCCGGAUUUAUUGGGUUUAACGGGUGCGUAGGCGGUCGGAUAAGUUAGAGGUGAAAUCCCGAGGCUCAACUUCGGAAUUGCCUCUGAUACUGUGCGGCUAGAGAGUAGUUGCGGUAGGCGGAAUGUAUGGUGUAGCGGUGAAAUGCUUAGAGAUCAUACAGAACACCGAUUGCGAAGGCAGCUUACCAGGCUGCAUCUGACGUUGAGGCACGAAAGCGUGGGGAGCAAACAGGAUUAGAUACCCGUGUAGUC
RNAcentral lists this ribosomal RNA (460 nucleotides) under uncultured bacterium. RNAcentral's name for it is "partial 16S ribosomal RNA". It matches the Rfam family "Bacterial small subunit ribosomal RNA", at positions 338 to 795 of the family's 1533-position model. The record is from RNAcentral.